RNAcentral lists this ribosomal RNA (497 nucleotides) under uncultured bacterium. Its description in RNAcentral is "partial 16S ribosomal RNA". It matches the Rfam family "Bacterial small subunit ribosomal RNA", at positions 28 to 507 of the family's 1533-position model. The record is from RNAcentral.
GAUGAACGCUGGCGGCGUGCCUAAUACAUGCAAGUCGAGCGAACGGACGAGAAGCUUGCUUCUCUGAUGUUAGCGGCGGACGGGUGAGUAACACGUGGAUAACCUACCUAUAAGACUGGGAUAACUUCGGGAAACCGUCGCUAAUACCGGAUAAUAUUUUGAACCGCAUGGUUCAAAAGUGAAAGACGGUCUUGCUGUCACUUAUAGCUGGAUCCGCGCUGCAUUAGCUAGUUGGUAAGGUAACGGCUUACCAAGGCAACGAUGCAUAGCCGACCUGAGAGGGGGAUCGGCCACACUGGAACUGAGACACGGUCCAGACUCCUACGGGAGGCAGCAGUAGGGAAUCUUACGCAAUGGGCGAAAGCCUGACGGAGCAACGCCGCGUGAGUGAUGAAGGUCUUCGGAUCGUAAAACUCUGUUAUUAGGGAAGAACAUAUGUGUAAGUAACUGUGCACAUCUUGACGGUACCUAAUCAGAAAGCCACGGCUAACUACGUG